Molecule: ribosomal RNA, 253 nt
Filed under: uncultured bacterium
Lineage: Bacteria
Description: partial 16S ribosomal RNA
Rfam family: Bacterial small subunit ribosomal RNA
Source: RNAcentral
UACAGAGGGUGCUAGCGUUGUUCGGAAUCAUUGGGCGUAAAGGGCGUGUAGGCGGUUUGUUAAGUCAUGUGUGAAAUCCCUCGGCUCAACCGGGGAACGACGCAUGAAACUGGCAAGCUAGAGUACCAAAGAGGGGGGUGGAAUUCCCGGUGUGGCGGUGAAAUGCGUAGAUAUCAGGAAGAACACCAAUGGCGAAGGCAGCUCUCUGGGACGGUACUGACACUGAGACGCGAAAGCGUGGGGAGCGAACAGG